AACCUCCGCAAUGUGAGAAAUCGCGACGGGGGGAUCCCAAGUGCCAUUCUUAACGGGAUGGCUUUUCAUUAGUGUAAAGAGCUUUUGGAAUAAGAGCUGGGCAAGACCGGUGCCAGCCGCCGCGGUAACACCGGCAGCUCUAGUGGUAACAAUUUUUAUUGGGCCUAAAGCGUCCGUAGCCGGUUUAAUAAGUCUCUGGUGAAAUCCUGCAGCUUAACUGUGGGAAUUGCUGGAGAUACUAUUAGACUUGAGACCGGGAGUGGUUAGAGGUACUCCCAGGGUAGAGGUGAAAUUCUGUAAUCCUGGGAGGACCGCCUGUUGCGAAGGCGUCUAACUGGAACGGUUCUGACGGUGAGGGACGAAAGUUAGGGGCGCGAACCGGAUUAGAUACCCGGGUAGUCCUAACUGUAAACGAUGCGGACUUGGUGUUGGGGUGGCUUUGAGCUGCUCCAGUGCCGAAGGGAAGCUGUUAAGUCCGCCGCCUGGGAAGUACGGUCGCAAGACUGAAACUUAAAGGAAUU
RNAcentral lists this ribosomal RNA (521 nucleotides) under uncultured bacterium. Its description in RNAcentral is "bacterial SSU rRNA". It matches the Rfam family "Archaeal small subunit ribosomal RNA", at positions 345 to 866 of the family's 1478-position model. The record is from RNAcentral.